RNAcentral lists this ribosomal RNA (924 nucleotides) under uncultured bacterium. Its description in RNAcentral is "bacterial SSU rRNA". It matches the Rfam family "Bacterial small subunit ribosomal RNA", at positions 26 to 980 of the family's 1533-position model. The record is from RNAcentral.
ACGCUGACACGCUGACAGAUGCUUAACAUAUGCAAGUCUACUUGAACUUCGGUUUGGGUGGCGGACGGGUGAGUAACGCGUAAAGAACUUGCCUCACAGUUAGGGACAACAUUUGGAAACGAAUGCUAAUACCUGAUAUUAUGAUUUUAGGGCAUCCUAAGAUUAUGAAAGCUAUAUGCGCUGUGAGAGAGCUUUGCGUCCCAUUAGCUAGUUGGAGAGGUAACGGCUCACCAAGGCGAUGAUGGGUAGCCGGCCUGAGAGGGUGAACGGCCACAAGGGGACUGAGACACGGCCCUUACUCCUACGGAGGCAGCAGUGGGGAAUAUUGGACAAUGGACCAAAAGUCUGAUCCAGCAAUUCUGUGUGCACGAUGACGUUUUUCGGAAUGUAAAGUGCUUUCAGUUGGGAAGAAAAAAAUGACGGUACCAACAGAAGAAGUGACGGCUAAAUACGUGCCAGCAGCCGCGGUAAUACGUAUGUCACAAGCGUUAUCCGGAUUUAUUGGGCGUAAAGCGCGUCUAGGUGGUUAUGUAAGUCUGAUGUGAAAAUGCAGGGCUCAACUCUGUAUUGCGUUGGAAACUGCAUGACUAGAGUACUGGAGAGGUAAGCGGAACUACAAGUGUAGAGGUGAAAUUCGUAGAUAUUUGUAGGAAUGCCGAUGGGGAAGCCAGCUUACUGGACAGAUACUGACGCUAAAGCGCGAAAGCGUGGGUAGCAAACAGGAUUAGAUACCCUGGUAGUCCACGCCGUAAACGAUGAUUACUAGGUGUUGGGGGUCGAACCUCAGCGCCCAAGCUAACGCGAUAAGUAAUCCGCCUGGGGAGUACGUACGCAAGUAUGAAACUCAAAGGAAUUGACGGGGACCCGCACAAGCGGUGGAGCAUGUGGUUUAAUUCGACGCAACGCGAGGAACCUUACCAGCGU